This 497-nucleotide ribosomal RNA is filed under the name uncultured bacterium. RNAcentral's name for it is "partial 16S ribosomal RNA". It matches the Rfam family "Bacterial small subunit ribosomal RNA", at positions 28 to 507 of the family's 1533-position model. The record is from RNAcentral.
GAUGAACGCUGGCGGCGUGCCUAAUACAUGCAAGUCGAGCGAACAGACGAGGAGCUUGCUCCUCUGACGUUAGCGGCGGACGGGUGAGUAACACGUGGAUAACCUACCUAUAAGACUGGGAUAACUUCGGGAUACCGGAGCUAAUACCGGAUAAUAUAUUGAAUCGCAUGGUUCAAUAGUGAAAGACGGUUUUGCUGUCACUUAUAGAUGGAUCCGCGCCGCAUUAACUAGUUGGUAAGGUAACGGCUUACCAAGGCAACGAUGCGUAGCCGACCUGAGAGGGUGAUCGGCCACACUGGAACUGAGACACGGUCCAGACUCCUACGGGAGGCAGCAGUAGGGAAUCUUCCGCAAUGGGCGAAAGCCUGACGGAGCAACGCCGCGUGAGUGAUGAAGGUCUUCGGAUCGUAAAACUCUGUUAUUAGGGAAGAACAAAUGUGUAAGUAACUAUGCACGUCUUGACGGUACCUAAUCAGAAAGCCACGGCUAACUACGUG